This 87-nucleotide transfer RNA is filed under the name Streptomyces calvus. RNAcentral describes it as "tRNA-Cys". Lineage: Bacteria; Bacillati; Actinomycetota; Actinomycetes; Kitasatosporales; Streptomycetaceae. RNAcentral also lists the same sequence under 1 other name. The record is from RNAcentral.
CUGGCGCUGGCCGGCACGGCCGUCGCCGCACUCGACCUGGUGCUGCCCCUGUGGGCGGCGGCGCUGAUCGUCACCGCGGUGCUGUUC